This is a long non-coding RNA of Bombus impatiens (common eastern bumble bee), 3624 nucleotides long. RefSeq lists it as uncharacterized. The record is from RefSeq and is a predicted model, not a curated record. The transcript has 3 exons. Lineage: Eukaryota; Metazoa; Arthropoda; Insecta; Hymenoptera; Apidae.
AACGAAUGCGAAUGGAUUGUUGAAAUAAACGAAGCCUUGUUAUAAUAUGUCGCUAUCAACUGUUGCCAAGGCGCCACGGUGGUCGCCCGUGAUCACCAAUAAGAUACACGGUCCAUUGGGAAAGAAUAUCGUCUUACAUCAUCAAUUUAUUAUUACUUUGCCAUUAUAUGCUUUGAAUAAUAAAAAUACUCCCGUGGCGUCCUGAGCGAAACAUGUGAUUUCGGCGUGGCGGUCAAAGUGUUAAGUCGUGAACUGGUCAAGCAAAGUGGAUAGGACGAUAAAGAGCAAGAAUAGGACAAGAAAAGUAUCCAAUGCGCAGUUUAUAGAUAGCGAUAAAUUAGUUUAGAGCAGUUUAGACUAUUGGGAUGUAAUAAGUAGGUUUGAAUUGAUAAGUCUACAAAUAAGCAUAAAAGAAUGUUGGCAAUAAAAGUACCAAGCAACAACAUCGAGUGAUAUCAAAGUAACGUCAAAGUAGGAGUGUAAGGUCAGGAAGGUACAAUAUGGAAUGGAAGGCUGUGCGAUUUAGUAUAUUCCGUAAAUCAAGCUCUAUUCUGCGACCCCUAAGGAUUAUUAGAAGAAUAAGCCAGCAUCCAAUAAACAGGUGCAUAAAAUAUUUAAUGAAACCUUCUACCGGUUUCCAUUAGAGCAAAAAACCACCAACAGCCAAACCAUAUCGCGUAAGACUUGAGAAAUAAAAGCAACACUACGCUCUAACAGCCAACUACUAAUAAAGACUUGAAAAAUAAACGCCUCGUAAAAACAAUGAUAAGAAAAGAAUGAUAUAACUUCUGACAGAAGCGCAACAUCUUCGUACAUAAAUCCAGUAGAAACGUGCACGAAGUAAGCCCGGCUAUGACUUUCACGAGAAAAGAACAGACACAAAUAACUAGACUGGGGAUAAGGUCAGUCUUAACAUUACACCUUCGCACUUUAUCGAAGAACAGAAUCCUAAAGCCCGUAAGUAUCGCAACGUCAACAACACCAUGGAAUAUUUACUUUGCUACAGAAUCAAAUUCGGCGAAACAAGACGCGACACAAAGAUACGAUAUACAGGUGGCUGAUUUUCAUUGUCAAUAACUUUUAGAUAAGAUAGAACAGCCGGCAAUCAUCAGUUUUCGAUACAAGAGAUUCAUUAAUACUUGGACAUUAUGUAUGGAAUAUAAUAUCAGAAUGACAUUGACAAAGAGCUUAGGAAGUCGAGCCCUUAAUCGAAGAAUGCUCUUCGUUACAUUCUCGCACGUUUCGCAAGUUAUGUUCGUUAUCGAUUCUCCGAUAGCAUCCUUUAGCUGCUCGAUUACGUUUGGUUCAUUGACAUACACUUUACUUUUAAGAAAACCCCAUAAGAGGAAGAAGCGUAGUGCAGUUAAAUCAGUUAGAUUAGAUGAUAGGACGAUACCAGAUGAUAAAAAAGCGAACGUAACUUGCGCGACAUCACCGUCAUCGAAAUUAUUUUGAUAAGAAUACUCGAAUUGCUUUGACAAAAUGUUUCGAUAAUUUUCUCUUUUUUUCUUGAACUGCGCAACGUUCCAUGAUUAUUUUGCCACGUAUCCAUAAAACAAUUGCUAGAGCGGAAAAGUGAUACAUCGUGCCAGAAUGUCAAUUUUGAAAUUAGUCAAUUGUACAUAUGUACAUUCAGCCUGCACGAUCGCUUCUAAUUAAUAGAACACAGUGUAAAAAAUUGCAAGUUUGCUAGAAGAAAUAGAUCAUUCACAAUGCCUAUAGAAGUAUACAAAACUGUACUAAUUCGCUAAUUAAUAACUAACUAAUUAUUUACUGCACUGACUAAUUAUUAAUAGCAUUAACUAUUAAGCAUGGAAAUAGUAUUUAGAUACCUGUAUACAAUGCUGUAAAUAAUUAUAGACUCAAACACAAUUUCUGCAUUAUAUCUUUAAUAUUUCCAAGAAACCAGUGAUCGUAGCUUGAUAUGUUAAGCGAAAUUAUUUUUGCAAAGGGUAAACUGAUAGGAUAUCAGGAUAUCAUGAUAUUACAUGACGAACUAUUGCCUUUCAUGGUCGGAAUAGAAGAUAGAAAAUUAUUCAACUAUUCACGCAGAAAAUUAUCCAUACAAUCCGCUACGAAAAAGUGGUUUUACAAUUUCGGAAUAGAACUGUUACCAUGGUCAGCAUCGAGUCCUGAUCUGAACCCGAUCAAGAAUCUGUGGGGAACUCUGGCAAGAAAAGUUUGCGACCAACAGAAGUCAUUUAUAGAAAAUAUCGUUGAAUUUAAAAAAUGGAACGAAACUUUAAAUAAGUUAGUGGAUAGCAUACCUAACAGAUUAACAGAAAUAGCCAUAAAUAAAGGGAAAUCCACUAAAUAUUGAGCGAAAAGAAUACAUGUAAUUGUGGCCACUAGUAUCUUACCAGCUUAAGUAACGAGAAACGAUAAAUAAGAGAAAAAAGAAGAAAGGAAGAAAUGAUCGAAAUCACAAUGAACAAGGAGCGUGGCUAAUUCGAUGCAAAUUGAUGGCGUUGCUUAACAACGACUGAUGCGCGAAUUGAGUUUCGUUAUUUUGACCUCGAUCGGAGAGGAACGUAUUUGCCUACGCGACGCCGUUGAUUGAGAUGGAAUUCGAGUACGCUACACGCACAACGCUCGUUUAUUUUAUAGUCAAGGCACGUUUCAUAGAUCCAAUAAGAGAUUGACCCGAUUUUUACUGUUCGGUCACAGUCGCUUUCGAACCGUGGUAGCGUGCAACUUUCCGCCGCCAAUGGUAAAUCAUCUCGAUUCGCCAGACAAAGGAUUUAACCUGUUUCUUAGAGAUAUAAAUGCACCGCACUCCCAUCGACAGACUUUGAUGCAGGAAUGGGUAACAGCUUUAUCGAAAAGUCUUCUCGUUUUCUCUUUCUCUUUUUUCUUUUCAGAAGAAAGAAAUUAAAUGAAGCGAGACAAUUGAGAAUACGGAUGUUUCUUGAAACAUGUGCCAUGUUUAUUUUCCAGUUACCAGAUUUUCAGAGUUUGCACAUUUAAUUAUAUUUGUCUAGAAAUCAUCGAUGCAAUGCUAGGAUGCUGACUGCAAAAUUUUUGGUCUGAAUGUGGCUUUCAGGCGGCGAUAUUUCGGGCCGCCAAAGCCGCAAAUAAGGAUCAUUUUUCAUGGAAAUGAACGGUUUUAACAAUUCGUCCUUGCGAACAUUUGGCCGACAAAAGUUUUAACUUUAGAAAUUCGCGCAAGAUCGCGAUCGUCAGACUGCGGAUUUUUGUGCAAAUUCAUAUUUUUCAGAAUAUAUUUUGGAAUGUGGAACUUUGGUAAAAAAUUGUUUUACCUAUCGAGUAUGGUAGAAAGCAUUAUAGCUUAGAUGCUUUAGAUGCGUCUUCUCGUAUUGUGUGCAUUCUGUGCAUUCUGUGCAAUGUUAAAUUUUCAAAGUUAGUAAGCGGUAAGCUAAUUUUGCCACUUAUAGCUUGGCGCUCAUUGUAUGAACGCUAACUAAUUAAAAAAUAACUCAAACCUAGUGCAAUGCUCGCGAUUCAAAUGCAUACAGAGCGUGCCACACAGUAGGUUAAGAGCACCAAGUUUUAGAAAAGGUCUCGUUAAAAUCCACGAGGACGUCACACAUCAACAGGUUGAUGGAAAUUUUUGACGUCUUAUUUCCGUGAAAAACGACUCUCACUUUCGGCUCCAGCGACCUC